RNAcentral lists this ribosomal RNA (442 nucleotides) under uncultured bacterium. RNAcentral describes it as "partial 16S ribosomal RNA". It matches the Rfam family "Bacterial small subunit ribosomal RNA", at positions 338 to 795 of the family's 1533-position model. The record is from RNAcentral.
CCUACGGGAGGCAGCAGUGGGGAAUAUUGGACAAUGGGGGGAACCCUGAUCCAGCGACGCCGCGUGAGUGAAGAAGUAUCUCGGUAUGUAAAGCUCUAUCAGCAGGGAAGAAAGAAAUGACGGUACCGACUAAGAAGCCCCGGCUAACUACGUGCCAGCAGCCGCGGUAAUACGGAGGGGGCAAGCGUUAUCCGGAUUUACUGGGGGUAAAGGGAGCGUUGCCGGGGCAGCAAGUCUGAUGUGAAGGGUCGGGGCCCAACCCCGGGACUGCAUUGGAAACUGUUGAACUGGAGUACAGGAGAGGUAAGCGGAAUUCCUAGUGUAGCGGUGAAAGGCGUAGAUAUUAGGAGGAACACCAGUGGCGAAGGCGGCUUACUGGACUGUAACUGACGUUGAGGCUCGAAAGCGUGGGGAGCAAACAGGAUUAGAUACCCGGGUAGUC